Long non-coding RNA from Pezoporus occidentalis (night parrot), 1239 nucleotides. RefSeq lists it as uncharacterized. Lineage: Eukaryota; Metazoa; Chordata; Aves; Psittaciformes; Psittacidae. The transcript has 2 exons. The record is from RefSeq and is a predicted model, not a curated record.
CAGCAGUUUGAUUGCAGAUCUUAAAAAAGUCACUUAAUUUCAUUGUCCUUGUCCAAACUAAGCCAUAGUAACUAUCAGGUUACUGCCUUUGUUUCCAGAUUUCUAGUGUUUUGUCCUAUGUACAGAUUUCUGUUAUGUUAGUCUAGGUUAGAGAUUGAUUUUAUGCCAAGGGGGUAAGUAUCCCAUUCUGGGGGAGUGAGACGGUAUGAACUUUAACAAAAUCUGUUCAAAUCUUCAUAUAAGAGUGGCAAUAACAUUGCAGAGUACACAGAGAGAAUCACAAAACAAUGCUUUAAUAACAAACCAGAGUUUCAUAGCUUUUUAAAUUAAAUGUCUCCAUGAUGAAGAAUUUUUGGUGUAAUUAAAGGCAGAUACAGGGGACAUGUUGACAUACACCCCUCUUUUUUUCCAAUACCUCUUAGUUUGGAACUGUGUUGCUUUGUUGUUGUUGUUGAUACACACUUCAUUACAUGUACAUCCAGAUGAUAAGAAAGAUACAGACAAUUUCAGUAUACUCCAGAUGGGAAUUUUCCCUCUGAUUUUGUGUAAGAAACAGGAAUUCUCUCUUCAAACAUUUUACUUGCUUCCAGUGCAAGAGGUACCAUGAAGAAAUAAUCUAAAUACAAAUGCAGAUCAGGGCUGCAAUUACAGGACUCUUGUCUUUAGUGUUUGGUUUUUUUAACUUGUUUAGCCUGUUACUCCUUUAGUCUGUUACUGAACAUGACUUCAAGCAUUGUACUCAACUGCAGUGAACUUUUCUGUGGGAAUAUUUUCAACAUUCAAGAAAGGAAUGCAAAAUAUUCUCUGUGCUGUUUGCAGCAUUUCAAUCCUCUCAGCAAUCUGUACAGCAAACUCAGCCUUGCUAUUUGCCUGGCUAUUAUAUGAGACAGUCAGAUGCAAUCAAAUUCUUGUUCUCAAAUAAGUAUAUGAUCUAAUUUAAGGUAAACUGAGAUCUUGUGAUUGUAACCACAUAGUUCAGGAAUGUUUAAACACUUCGGGGCUCUAUCCUCAAUGGGUACUACAGAAGCCUCUGACAUUUGCCUGAUUCCCAAAAGCCUGAUUAGUCGCCUAUAGUUUUAAGGAAAGAAAUUUCCAGAAGAGUAGCACCUGAAGAAGAAAGCAUUCGUGCUGGCUGAUGCUAGCUGAAGGAAGCAUAGAGCACUGAGCAAGAAAAGCUUUUCUGCUGAUUUGAUUCUUCCAGCAAAGGUAGCAUUGCAUACCUUGCUGUAAACAAACAAA